AGUAAAUUUUGUUUUUGGAUUUUAAAAAUUUAAUAUGCAAAUUAUGUAUAAGACCAAUUUUGAAUAUAUAGUUUGUGUAUAUGAAGCAAAAACUUGAAAAUUGUAUUAUUACUAAUUUUUUUUAUAAAUAGGUUUAUAAUAAUUGUUAUUCUUUAGUGAAACCUUCAUCAAGUUCCUCAAGUAAGUUUUUUAUGGUAAAAUGCUAGUUCAGUGGUCUAUGCAGGCAGCAUGUAGAAAACGAAUAAAAACCCGACUACAACAUUCUGAAAUUAGAGCUGAGAUUUCUAAAAGACAGACUAUAAAACGCCAAAAAAUCGAUGAAAAAGAAAAAAGAAAGUUAGAGCAACAAUUAACAUUAUUAACUAUUAGUGAAAUUCUGAAUUUGUUUAAAAACUUAUCUACUAAGCAAAUUGAUGAUUUAAAUGAUGUUAUGUGUGAAAGAAUUGUUGGGAGAAAUUUUUGCCAUGAAUGGUAUGAUUCCGAUAUGUAUAUUCUUGUAUAUUGGCAGAGUAGAAAAACUUAAGAAAGCACAGAAAGGCAUUAUAUACACUAUUUCUUAUUGGACUAGAGAAGAAAAUUAUACUCAAGCAGUUGAUUAUUAUAUGAAAAAAUUCCAGCUAGUUGCUGACAUUGUAUCCGGUCAGAGGGGGAACCAUCUAUAACUAUCACAAAGCAUUGUGUGAUGUAUUUUGAGUUUUG
Molecule: non-coding RNA, 699 nt
Organism: Hydra vulgaris (swiftwater hydra)
Lineage: Eukaryota; Metazoa; Cnidaria; Hydrozoa; Anthoathecata; Hydridae
Source: RefSeq, a predicted model, not a curated record